Small nucleolar RNA from Gasterosteus aculeatus aculeatus (three-spined stickleback), 107 nucleotides. The record is from Ensembl. Lineage: Eukaryota; Metazoa; Chordata; Actinopteri; Perciformes; Gasterosteidae.
AGCGUGAGUGAUGAAAACAUGACCUUAGGUUUGUCUUUUUGAGCCGUCUUGGUUCAAAGUUCUAGACCUACCAAUGUUAGGACUUGUCAUAGUUACACUGACCCGCU